Molecule: ribosomal RNA, 93 nt
Filed under: Staphylococcus aureus
Lineage: Bacteria; Bacillati; Bacillota; Bacilli; Caryophanales; Staphylococcaceae
Description: partial 23S ribosomal RNA
Rfam family: Bacterial large subunit ribosomal RNA
Source: RNAcentral
CCCUCAAAGAUGAUGAGGUUAAUAGGUUCGAGGUGGAAGCAUGGUGACAUGUGGAGCUGACGAAUACUAAUCGAUCGAAGACUUAAUCAAAUU